GGUUGACCUCGGAUCAGGUAGGAAUACCCGCUGAACUUAAGCAUAUCAAUAAGCGGAGGAAAAGAAACCAACAGGGAUUGCCUCAGUAACGGCGAGUGAAGCGGCAACAGCUCAAAUUUGAAAUCUGGCCUUGUGCCCGAGUUGUAAUUUGUAGAGGAUGCUUUCGGCGCGGCGCCUUCCGAGUUCCCUGGAACGGGACGCCAUAGAGGGUGAGAGCCCCGUAUGGUCGGAUGCCAAACCACUGUAAAGCUCCCUCGACGAGUCGAGUAGUUUGGGAAUGCUGCUCAAAAUGGGAGGUAAAUUUCUUCUAAAGCUAAAUACCGGCCAGAGACCGAUAGCGAAAAAGUAGAGUGAUCGAAAGAUGAAAAGCACUUUGAAAAGAGGGUUAAACAGCACGUGAAAUUGUUGAAAGGGAAGCGCUUGUGACCAGACCUGCGCCCUGGGGAUCAUCCGGCGUUCUCGCCGGUGCACUCCGCUGGGCUGCAGGCCAGCAUCGGUUCUCCUAGGGGGAUAAAAGCUUCGGGAACGUGGCUCCUUAGGGAGUGUUAUAGCCCGUUGCAUAAUACCCUUGGGGGGACCGAGGUACGCGCUCCGCAAGGAUGCUGGCGUAAUGGUCAUCAGCGACCCGUCUUGAAACACGGACCAAGGAGUCAAGCAUUAGGGCGAGUGUUUGGGUGCAAAACCCGCACGCGAAAUGAAAGUGAACGUAGGUGAGAGCUUCGGCGCAUCAUCGACCGAUCCUGAUGUUCUCGGAUGGAUUUGAGUAAGAGCCUUACCGCUUGGACCCGAAAGAUGGUGAACUAUGCCUGUAUAGGGUGAAGCCAGAGGAAACUCUGGUGGAGGCUCGCAGCGGUUCUGACGUGCAAAUCGAUCGUCAAAUAUGGGCAUGGGGGCGAAAGACUAAUCGAACUAUCUAGUAGCUGGUUACCGCCGAAGUUUCCCUCAGGAUAGCAGUGUUGUUUUCAGUUUUAUGAGGUAAAGCGAAUGAUUAGGGACUCGGGGGCGCUAUUUUGCCUUCAUCCAUUCUCAAACUUUAAAUAUGUAAGAAGCCCUUGUUACUUUGUUGAACGUGGGCCUUCGAAUGCAGCAACACUAGUGGGCCAUUUUUGGUAAGCAGAACUGGCGAUGCGGGAUGAACCGAACGCGGGGUUAAGGUGCCAGAGUGGACGCUCAUCAGACACCACAAAAGGCGUUAAUACAUCUUGACAGCAGGACGGUGGCCAUGGAAGUCGGAAUCCGCUAAGGACUGUGUAAGUGUUUUUCUCCCCUGGGCUUUUAUUCCCCGGGCAAUUUGCUCUGUUUUUUAAGGACAAACAUGCUAAUAAUUCUCUCAACAGGUAACAACUCACCUGCCGAAUGUAUUAGCCCUGAAAAUGGAUGGCGCUCAAGCGUCCCACCCAUACCCCGCCCUCAGGGUAGAAACGAUGCCCUGAGGAGUAGGCGGCCGCGGGGGCGGUGACGAAGCCCAGGGCGUGAGCCCGGGUCGAACCGCCCCUGGUGCAGAUCUUGGUGGUAGUAGCAAAUACUUCAAUGAGAACUUGAAGGACCGAAGUGGGGAAAGGUUCCAUGUGAACAGCGGUUGGACGUGGGUUAGCCGAUCCUAAGCCAUAGGGAAGUUCCGUUUCAAAGGGGCACUCGUGCCCCGCAUGGCGAAAGGGAAGCAGGUCAAUAUUCCUGCGCCUGGAUGCGGGUUUUUCGCGGCAACGCAACUGAACGCGGAGACGGCGGCGGGGGCCCCGGGCAGAGUUCUCUUUUCUUCUUAACGGUCUGCCACCCUGAAAACAGUUUGUCUGGAGAUAGGGUCCCAUGGCCGGAAGAGCCCAGCACCUCUGCUGGGUCCGGUGCGCCCCCGACGUCCCUUGAAAAUCCGCGGGAGGGAAUAAUUCUCGCGCCAGGUCGUACUCAUAACCGCAGC
This 1915-nucleotide ribosomal RNA is filed under the name Lentomitella conoidea. Its description in RNAcentral is "eukaryotic LSU rRNA". It matches the Rfam family "Eukaryotic large subunit ribosomal RNA", at positions 1 to 1860 of the family's 3401-position model. The record is from RNAcentral. Lineage: Eukaryota; Fungi; Ascomycota; Sordariomycetes; Xenospadicoidales; Xenospadicoidaceae.